This is a small nucleolar RNA of Mastomys coucha (southern multimammate mouse), 130 nucleotides long. RefSeq annotates it as small nucleolar RNA SNORA17. The transcript has a single exon. Lineage: Eukaryota; Metazoa; Chordata; Mammalia; Rodentia; Muridae. The record is from RefSeq and is a predicted model, not a curated record.
UCUGCCCCUAGAGGCCUAGCAGGUGUGGCUGCUAUGCCACAUGGGUGUCAGUAGGUGGCAGAGAGGAGAGAGGCUGUCUGUGCUCUAUGUUCUGACCUGUAAACAUCUGAGUGAUUGGUAGCCUAACAUU